Molecule: ribosomal RNA, 466 nt
Filed under: uncultured bacterium
Lineage: Bacteria
Description: partial 16S ribosomal RNA
Rfam family: Bacterial small subunit ribosomal RNA
Source: RNAcentral
AUUGAACGCUGGCGGCGUGCUUAACACAUGCAAGUCGAACGGGCAAGAGCCGUAGCAAUACGGAGUUCUGCUAGUGACAAACGGGUGAGUAAUACAUGGGAAUCUACCUUGGAGUCUGGGAUAACAGUUGGAAACGACUGCUAAUACCGGAUAUAACCGAGAGGUAAAAGAUUUAUCGCUCUAAGAUGAGCCCAUGGAGGAUUAGCUAGUUGGUAGGGUAAAGGCCUACCAAGGCGACGAUCCUUAGCUGGUCUGAGAGGAUGAUCAGCCACACUGGAACUGAGACACGGUCCAGACUCCUACGGGAGGCAGCAGUGGGGAAUAUUGGACAAUGGGCGAAAGCCUGAUCCAGCGACGCCGCGUGGGUGAUGAAGGCCUUCUGGUUGUAAAGCCCUUUCAGUGGGAAAGAUAAUGACGGUACCCACAGAAGAAGCUCCGGCAAACUUCGUGCCAGCCGCCGCCGUAA